GAAGGUGUACUGUGAGGUAUGCUGGAGGUAUCAGAAGUGCGAAUGCUGACAUAAGUAACGAUAAAGCGGGUGAAAAGCCCGCUCGCCGGAAGACCAAGGGUUCCUGUCCAACGUUAAUCGGGGCAGGGUGAGUCGACCCCUAAGGCGAGGCCGAAAGGCGUAGUCGAUGGGAAACAGGUUAAUAUUCCUGUACUUGGUGUUACUGCGAAGGGGGGACGGAGAAGGCUAUGUUGGCCGGGCGACGGUUGUCCCGGUUUAAGCGUGUAGGCUGGUUUUCCAGGCAAAUCCGGAAAAUCAAGGCUGAGGCGUGAUGACGAGGCACUACGGUGCUGAAGCAACAAAUGCCCUGCUUCCAGGAAAAGCCUCUAAGCAUCAGGUAACAUCAAAUCGUACCCCAAACCGACACAGGUGGUCAGGUAGAGAAUACCAAGGCGCUUGAGAGAACUCGGGUGAAGGAACUAGGCAAAAUGGUGCCGUAACUUCGGGAGAAGGCACGCUGAUAUGUAGGUGAAGUCCCUUGCGGAUGGAGCUGAAAUCAGUCGAAGAUACCAGCUGGCUGCAACUGUUUAUUAAAAACACAGCACUGUGCAAACACGAAAGUGGACGUAUACGGUGUGACGCCUGCCCGGUGCCGGAAGGUUAAUUGAUGGGGUUAGCGGUAACGCGAAGCUCUUGAUCGAAGCCCCGGUAAACGGCGGCCGUAACUAUAACGGUCCUAAGGUAGCGAAAUUCCUUGUCGGGUAAGUUCCGACCUGCACGAAUGGCGUAAUGAUGGCCAGGCUGUCUCCACCCGAGACUCAGUGAAAUUGAACUCGCUGUGAAGAUGCAGUGUACCCGCGGCAAGACGGAAAGACCCCGUGAACCUUUACUAUAGCUUGACACUGAACAUUGAGCCUUGAUGUGUAGGAUAGGUGGGAGGCUUUGAAGUGUGGACGCCAGUCUGCAUGGAGCCGGCCUUGAAAUACCACCCUUUAAUGUUUGAUGUUCUAACGUUGGCCCCUGAUCGGGGUUGCGGACAGUGUCUGGUGGGUAGUUUGACUGGGGCGGUCUCCUCCUAAAGAGUAACGGAGGAGCACGAAGGUUGGCUAAUCCUGGUCGGACAUCAGGAGGUUAGUGCAAUGGCAUAAGCCAGCUUGACUGCGAGCGUGACGGCGCGAGCAGGUGCGAAAGCAGGUCAUAGUGAUCCGGUGGUUCUGAAUGGAAGGGCCAUCGCUCAACGGAUAAAAGGUACUCCGGGGAUAACAGGCUGAUACCGCCCAAGAGUUCAUAUCGACGGCGGUGUUUGGCACCUCGAUGUCGGCUCAUCACAUCCUGGGGCUGAAGUAGGUCCCAAGGGUAUGGCUGUUCGCCAUUUAAAGUGGUACGCGAGCUGGGUUUAGAACGUCGUGAGACAGUUCGGUCCCUAUCUGCCGUGGGCGCUGGAGAACUGAGGGGGGCUGCUCCUAGUACGAGAGGACCGGAGUGGACGCAUCACUGGUGUUCGGGUUGUCAUGCCAAUGGCACUGCCCGGUAGCUAAAUGCGGAAGAGAUAAGUGCUGAAAGCAUCUAAGCACGAAACUUGCCCCGAGAUGAGUUCUCCCUGACUC
Molecule: ribosomal RNA, 1586 nt
Filed under: Escherichia coli
Lineage: Bacteria; Pseudomonadati; Pseudomonadota; Gammaproteobacteria; Enterobacterales; Enterobacteriaceae
Description: partial 23S ribosomal RNA
Rfam family: Bacterial large subunit ribosomal RNA
Source: RNAcentral